RNAcentral lists this ribosomal RNA (338 nucleotides) under uncultured bacterium. RNAcentral describes it as "bacterial SSU rRNA". It matches the Rfam family "Bacterial small subunit ribosomal RNA", at positions 29 to 334 of the family's 1533-position model. The record is from RNAcentral.
AACGAACGUUGGCGGCGUGGAUUAGGCAUGCAAGUCGAGCGGGAUUAACUCGUUUCAAUCUUUCGGGAGAGAAACUUGUUAUGAGAGCGGCGAACGGGUGAGUAAUACUUGGGUAAUUUGCCUCUUUGUUCGGGAUAGCCAUCGGAAACGAUGAUUAAUACCGAAUGUGUUCGGGUGCUUCAUGGCACCCUUUAUAAAGGCGGGGAUUCUUCGGAACCUGUCGCAAGGAGAUAAGCCCAAGUCCUAUCAGCUAGUUGGUGAGGUAACGGCUCACCAAGGCUUACGGGUAGCGGGUCUGAGAGGAUGAUCCGCCACACUGGGACUGAGACACUGCCCAG